Molecule: ribosomal RNA, 380 nt
Filed under: Wickerhamomyces sp.
Lineage: Eukaryota; Fungi; Ascomycota; Saccharomycetes; Phaffomycetales; Wickerhamomycetaceae
Description: partial small subunit ribosomal RNA
Rfam family: Eukaryotic small subunit ribosomal RNA
Source: RNAcentral
AUUCCAGCUCCAAUAGCGUAUAUUAAAGUUGUUGCAGUUAAAAAGCUCGUAGUUGAACUUUGGGCUUGGUCAGCCGGUCCGCUUUUUUGCGUGUACUGGUCCUGACCGAGCCUUUCCUUCUGGCUAACCUGUCUCUCGGGGCAGGCGAACCAGGACUUUUACUUUGAAAAAAUUAGAGUGUUCAAAGCAGGCCUUUGCUCGAAUAUAUUAGCAUGGAAUAAUAGAAUAGGACGUUUGGUUCUAUUUUGUUGGUUUCUAGGACCAUCGUAAUGAUUAAUAGGGACGGUCGGGGGCAUCAGUAUUCAAUUGUCAGAGGUGAAAUUCUUGGAUUUAUUGAAGACUAACUACUGCGAAAGCAUUUGCCAAGGACGUUUUCAUCG